Phacochoerus africanus (Common warthog) is the source of this 5345-nucleotide RNA transcript. It is a transcript of the gene named SRC kinase signaling inhibitor 1, with no coding region annotated. The transcript has 20 exons. NCBI's taxonomy places the organism in Eukaryota, Metazoa, Chordata, Mammalia, Artiodactyla, Suidae. The record is from RefSeq and is a predicted model, not a curated record.
CGGGUGCCUCCGCAGCUCGGCUGGCAGGGCCUGGCGGGGCGUGUACGGCUGCUAGUGCAAGCCCCCCCGCCCCACCCCUCCCCAUGCAGCCCUGGCAGUGCCUCCGGCGCUUUGCCUUGGCCUGGUGGGAGAGGACAGCGGAGGGCAGCUCCCGAUCUCCCAGGGAGGAGGCUGGACCGAGGGACCCCGGGGGCCGAGGGGAGCCAGAUCCAGAGCGGAGCAGCCCCCCCAUGCUGUCUGCGGACGAUGCCGAGUACCCGCGGGAGUACCGGACCCUGGGGGGCGGGGGCAGCGGGGGCAGCGGGGGCCGGCGCUUCUCCAACGUGGGGCUGGUGCACACGUCCGAGCGGCGGCACACGGUGAUCGCCGCCCAGAGCCUGGAGGCGCUCAGCGGGCUCCAGAAGGCCGAUGCCGACCGCAAGCGCGAUGCCUUCAUGGACCACCUGAAGAGCAAGUACCCCCAGCACGCCCUAGCCCUGCGGGGUCAGCAAGACAGGAUGCGGGAGCAGGUUGGCGGCUGGACCGUGGACCCCGUGUGCCUCCUCAGCUCCCUCUGCUCCCACCUCCAUGGCGACUCCGCCCCCUCCGGGGCUGGCCAGCCGGCCCAGCAGCCAAACUACUGGAGUUUCAAGACCCGCAGCUCGCGCCACACUCAGGGAGCCCAGCCUGGCCUGGCAGACCAGGCGGCCAAGCUGUCAUACGCCUCGGCUGAGUCACUGGAGACCAUGUCGGAGGCCGAGCUGCCCCUGGGCUUCAGUAGGAUGAACCGCUUCCGACAGAGCCUGCCCCUCUCCCGCUCAGCCAGCCAGACCAAGCUGCGCUCGCCAGGGGUGCUGUUCCUGCAGUUCGGGGAGGAGACUCGGCGCGUGCACAUCACGCACGAGGUCAGCAGCCUGGACACGCUGCACGCACUCAUCGCUCACAUGUUCCCGCAGAAGCUCACCAUGGGCAUGCUUAAGUCGCCCAACACCGCCAUCCUCAUCAAAGACGAGGCUCGCAACGUCUUCUACGAGCUGGAGGACGUCCGGGACAUCCAGGACCGCAGUAUUAUCAAGAUCUAUAGGAAGGAGCCACUCUACGCCGCUUUCCCUGGCUCACACCUCACCAACGGGGACCUCCGGAGAGAGAUGGUGUAUGCGUCGCGGGAGUCGUCGCCCACGCGGCGUCUCAACAACCUGUCGCCGGCGCCGCACCUGGCAUCCGGCUCGCCGCCACCGGGGCUCCCGUCCGGGCUGCCGUCGGGCUCGCCGUCGCGCUCGCGCCUCUCGUACGCCGGGGGGCGCCCGCCCUCCUACGCCGGCAGCCCGGUGCACCACGCGGCGGAGCGGCUGGGGGGCGCCCCCGCCGCCCCGGGCGUCAGCCCGAGCCCCAGCGCCAUCCUCGAGCGGCGCGACGUGAAGCCGGACGAGGACCUUGCGGGCAAGGCGGGCGGCAUGGUGCUGGUGAAGGGCGAGGGCCUCUACGCCGAUCCCUACGGCCUGCUCCAUGAGGGCCGCCUGAGCCUGGCCGCGGCCGCCGGCGAUCCGUUCGCCUACCCUGGCGCGGGCGGCCUGUACAAGCGCGGCUCCGUACGCUCGCUCAGCACCUACUCGGCCGCCGCGCUGCAGUCGGACCUGGAGGAUUCGCUGUACAAGGCGGCGGGUGGCGGCCCGCUCUACGGCGACAGCUAUGGCUUCCGCCUGCCGCCCUCGUCGCCCCAGAAGCUGGCGGAUGUGGCGGCGCCCCCCGGGGGCCCCCAGCCGCCGCACAGCCCCUACUCGGGGCCGCCUAGCCGCGGCUCGCCGGUGCGCCAGUCCUUCCGCAAAGACUCGGGCUCCUCGUCGGUCUUCGCCGAGAGCCCCGGAGGCAAGACCCGCAGCACCGGGGGUUCUUCGACGGCCGGAGCACCCCCUCCUGAGCUCUUCCCCGGGCCUGGGGAGCGCCCGCUCGUUGGGUUCGGGCCGCCUGUGCCAGCCAAGGAUACGGAGACUAGGGAGCGCAUGGAGGCUAUGGAGAAGCAAAUUGCCAGCCUCACAGGUCUGGUGCAGAGUGCCCUGCUUCGAGGGUCAGAGCCUGAGACCCCCAGUGAGAAGAUUGAAGGCUCCAAUGGCGCAGCCACGCCCUCAGCACCCUGCGGGUCAGGCAGCCGGAGCAGUGGGGCCACCCCAGUGUCCGGCCCUCCCCCGCCCUCGGCCAGCAGCACCCCUGCGGGGCAGCCCACUGCCAUCAACCGUUUGCAGAUGCAGCUGCAUCUGCGUGGCCUGCAGAACAGCACCAAUGACCUGCGCAGCCAGCUUCAGCAACUGCGGAAGCUCCAGCUCCAGAACCUGGAGUCGCUGCGCGCGCUGCUGAAGGGCACGGAGGCGGAGCUGAGCAUGCGCGUGUCGGAGGCGGCGCGGCGGCAAGAGGACCCGCUGCAGCGGCAGCGCACCCUGGUGGAGGAGGAGCGGCUGCGCUACCUCAACGACGAGGAGCUCAUUACCCAGCAGCUCAAUGACCUGGAGAAGUCGGUGGAGAAGAUCCAGAGGGACGUGUCCCACAACCACCGACUGGUGCCCGGACCUGAACUGGAAGAGAAGGCGCUGGUGCUGAAGCAGCUCGGGGAGACGCUGACUGAGCUCAAGGCUCACUUCCCAGGCCUGCAGAGCAAGAUGCGGGUAGUGCUGCGUGUGGAGGUGGAGGCGGUGAAGUUCCUGAAGGAGGAGCCACAGCGUCUGGAUGGGCUACUCAAGCGCUGCCGUGGGGUCACAGACACAUUGGCCCAGAUCCGAAGGCAAGUGGAUGAAGGUGUUUGGCCACCCCCCAGCAACCUCCUGAAUCAGUCCCCCAAGAAGGUGACAGCUGAGAGUGACUUCAACAAGAGCUUGGACUUCGAAAUGCCACCCCCCAGCCCUCCACUGAACCUCCACGAGCUGAGUGGGCCAGCGGAGGGAGCCCCUGCGACGCCCAAGGCGGGCAACCCCACCAAAGGCCUGGAUGCUCCUGGCAAGAGAAGUGUGGACAAGGCUGUGUCUGUUGAGGCUGCAGAGCGGGACUGGGAGGAGAAGCGGGCAGCCCUGACCCAGUACAGCGCCAAGGAUAUCAACCGGCUGCUGGAGGAGACACAGGCGGAGCUCCUGAAGGCCAUCCCCGACCUGGACUGUGCGAGCAAGGCCCACCCGGGCCCAGCCCCCACCCCUGACCACAAGCCCCCCAAGAUCCCUCACGGCCAGAAGACAGCCCCGCGAACGGAGCCCAGUGGGAGGAGAGGCUCAGAUGAGCUGACGGUGCCCCGAUACCGCACGGAGAAGCCGUCCAAGUCUCCCCCACCGCCCCCUCCCCGCCGGAGCUUCCCCUCCUCCCACGGCCUGACCACCACGCGCACCGGAGAGGUCGUGGUCACCAGCAAGAAGGACUCGGCCUUCAUCAAGAAGGCAGAGUCCGAGGAGCUGGAGGUGCAGAAGCCCCAGGUGAAGCUGCGCCGGACCGUGUCCGAGGUGGCCCGCCCGGCCUCCACACCCCCCAUCAUGGCCUCUGCCGUCAAGGACGAGGACGACGAGGACCGUAUCAUCGCAGAGCUGGAGGUGUUUGAGAGAAGCUCAGUGUCUCCCCUCCCCCCCACGCCCCGCCGCCAGCCGAUCCCCACCUUGCUGUCCCCCCAGGACCUGGGGCCCUCUGGGGGCUCAGCCCCGGGCCCCACAUGGAAGGUAACGGGCUGCCCCCCACCUCUCACGGCGCUCUCUCUGCCUGUGCCUCCACGCUGCCUCUCCUCACUUCUCACGCUAACCUGCUAGAACACCAGUCACAUCCCUGGGUCCUGGCACUGCCACAGCCUCACCCCUGUGGACUGACUCACCCCUUCCCCCGCUCCAAGGACCGGCGCAGAACCCUCCCUUCCCUCUCCAAGACGCCAGCAGCCUGGUAUUUGGUGGCCCCUUGGGUCUGCGUUUCCUUACAGGCUUGAUUCCGUGCCCAGCCCGUGGUGGCUUGGGUAUUUUGUUUGGAUCUGUAGCCAGAGUUUAGGUCUGGCCCGAAGCCUGGGUUUUGUCUUGGUCCAAGUUUGGAUCUCGCUCCGUACAUGAUUCAAAAUCUGACUUCCUUCUGAGCCCUCGCCUAGUCCCUGAGCCCAUAGGCCCUUCUCUGCUGCCCGUGCCAGGUGGGGGUGCUCCCACCGGAAUCCACACCUUGCCCUGGGGGCCAGGACUCCCAGGAGAAAGGCCCAUUUCCAGCCUCCCUCCUUCCCGUGGCCCCAUCUGGUCGGAGAGCUUGGGAUGGAAAAAAUUCCCUGCCCUUCCUUGGCUGCUGGUUCUGUCUUUUGGCAUUGGGAAGUUCUUCCUUCUCUCUAACUGCAGUCCUUGCUGCUGUCCUGCUGCACUUACUUCUUUUUUAUUCUGUCUUGGGAGUUCGAGGGUGACUUGCUGUCUGCACCCUAGGGGACUGUGCUUGGGGAGGGGGAGCUGGGGGUCUGCACCCCAGGGGACUGUGCUUGGGGGGUGGCGGUGGUCCGGGACUCUCUCCCUCCUCCCAGUCAGGUUGGAGUAGGGGGGCCUUGUCUCUGGGGAGGGGAGCCUCCCGUGCACGCACGUGCCCACCUGCCUCAUCUGGUCCCCUUGGCCCCCAGUGGGUUCUGUGCUGGCCGCCGCCUGACUUCUAGCCUAGCUUGAGGCCCAGUGGUGCUUUGGCUCUGGAUCCAGGGGAGCAGAUAGGCACCAAACGGGUGGACAGUGCUGUCCGCUGGGCAGAGGGUGGCCACAGAGCUCCAAGGAGCCAUCUGGGCUUGAGUAGUGUGGCGGGGCUGCCCUUGGCUGGCUGUGCCCUCAGCACCUUGGCCCGCUGCACCCAGCCACUGCCCCUUUCUGGCCCUGGAAGCCAGUCCUGAAGGGGUCCAGUGGGAAAGCUCCUCCGCUGGCCCUUCGGGCUGGCGGGGCCUCCGCAUCCUGAGGCGCCAUCAGGCAGUGGAACCGGGCGGGCAUGGGCCGCCCUCUCUGCCUUCUCAGUCUGCGCAUCCCACCUUCAGGCUGCCGCAGGCCCCAGGUCCUUCUGCGUCCCCCGGAUCAUCUUGACUGAGUGCGCCCCCAACCCGCCCUCCCCACCAGAGUCCAGGCUUGAGGAGCCAGGUCCCAGGACAGCCCCCAUCCCACAACCCCGGACCCUGCCUGGCAGAAGGAGGGGCUGGGAUUGUCCACGGACCCUGCCAGGGGCAGUGGCCGCGGCUUCCCAGCCCAGGAACAGCUUGAUGCCAGAGCAGGAAGGGGCAGGUCUGCAAAGACUGGAGGCCGCCGGCUGCAGCCCAGAAAAGGGAGGAGCUGGGGUCCCCUGUGCUCUGGGACUUGCUCCAGCCAGGACCCGGGAACCCCCCACUGCUGAGACCCCCCGAGAGGAGAUGC